CUCUUUGCUGGCGACCGGCGCACGGGUGAGUAACACGUAUCCAACCUGCCCUUUACUCGGGGAUAGCCUUUCGAAAGAAAGAUUAAUACCCGAUAGCAUAAUGAUUCCGCAUGGUUUCAUUAUUAAAGGAUUCCGGUAAAGGAUGGGGAUGCGUUCCAUUAGGUUGUUGGUGAGGUAACGGCUCACCAAGCCUUCGAUGGAUAGGGGUUCUGAGAGGAAGGUCCCCCACAUUGGAACUGAGACACGGUCCAA
Molecule: ribosomal RNA, 252 nt
Filed under: uncultured bacterium
Lineage: Bacteria
Description: partial 16S ribosomal RNA
Rfam family: Bacterial small subunit ribosomal RNA
Source: RNAcentral